UGGCUCAGGACGAACGCUGGCGGCGUGCCUAAUACAUGCAAGUCGAACGGUCUUUCUAUGGAAGCUUGCUUCCACUGAGAAGAUAGUGGCGAACGGGUGAGUAACACGUGGGGUAACCUGCCCAUAAGAGGGGGGAUAACAUCCGGAAACGGGUGCUAAUACCGCAUAGUUUUCUUGGUCGCAUGAUCGGGAAAGGAAAGACGGCCUUUGUGCUGUCGCUUAUGGAUGGACCCGCGGCGUAUUAGUUAGUUGGUGAGGUAACGGCUCACCAAGACGAUGAUACGUAGCCGACCUGAGAGGGUGAUCGGCCACAUUGGGACUGAGACACGGCCCAAACUCCUACGGGAGGCAGCAGUAGGGAAUCUUCCGCAAUGGACGAAAGUCUGACGGAGCAACGCCGCGUGAGUGAAGAAAAGGUUUUCGGAUCGUAAAACUCUGUUGUCAGAGAAGAACAAGUUGGAGAGUAACUGCUCCAGCCUUGACGGUAUCUGACCAGAAAGCCACGGCUAACUACGUGCCAGCCGCAGC
Molecule: ribosomal RNA, 528 nt
Filed under: uncultured bacterium
Lineage: Bacteria
Description: bacterial SSU rRNA
Rfam family: Bacterial small subunit ribosomal RNA
Source: RNAcentral